AGCGUAGCUCAGUUUGGUAGAGCAACUGAUUUGUAAUCAGUAGGUCGGGGGUUCGAGCCCCUUCGCU
RNAcentral lists this transfer RNA (67 nucleotides) under marine eukaryotic metagenome. It matches the Rfam family "tRNA". Rfam says of the family: Transfer RNA (tRNA) molecules are approximately 80 nucleotides in length. Their secondary structure includes four short double-helical elements and three loops (D, anti-codon, and T loops). The record is from RNAcentral.